Molecule: long non-coding RNA, 638 nt
Organism: Tarenaya hassleriana
Lineage: Eukaryota; Viridiplantae; Streptophyta; Magnoliopsida; Brassicales; Cleomaceae
Exons: 2
Source: RefSeq, a predicted model, not a curated record
CUGUUUUCGGACAUUCCUUCCAGGUGAAAGACAGAUCAUCAGAUUGCUUUUAUAACCUCUCAGACACUAUGUUCGUGACGGAGGCUUUGGAAGAAAUCUUUAGAUAUGCAAGCAACUAUUAUCUUUUUCUCGAGGUCAAGAAAGUUGUGAAGAAGGGAGAGAAUCUUCAGCUCCAUCGUCUUCAGUUCUUCCGAAUUCCACCAGGAAUACCCAUUUGAUCGAUUUCUUGCUGGAGAAUCUGUGACAUGAACGUACACAAUUUUCUAAUCUUAGGGCUAUAUUAUUUUCGGGUUUGUUCUCAUCGAUCGGAUUAGAUGGGUUGUCCUCUAAUGGUGUACGUUCCGUUGUAAGUUGCGAUAAAGAUGGCGGCAAAGGCAGCUCUCCGUCUCGUGGGGUUCGAGCCGUGGUCCACUCCUUACUGGCCUCACUCUCUCGUGGCUGCAGCCAUUUCUGAUUUGCCCGAAAGCGUUUUGGAGUGUCAAGAGGUCCUUCAGAUUCGGAAGAAAGUGUGUUUGUGUUUUUUUUUCCUGCAAGUUUCUCUUUUCUUAUCAAAGACUCGAAUGUCAAUCGGUUUAACCAAAAAAAAAACUCGAAUGUCAAUCGGUUUAGUUCGGUUCAGUUUAGUGUUGGUUUUAUUC